AGUGAACGCUGGCGGUAGGCCUAACACAUGCAAGUCGAACGGCAGCACAGUAAGAGCUUGCUCUUACGGGUGGCGAGUGGCGGACGGGUGAGGAAUACAUCGGAAUCUACUUUUUCGUGGGGGAUAACGUAGGGAAACUUACGCUAAUACCGCAUACGACCUACGGGUGAAAGCAGGGGAUCUUCGGACCUUGCGCGACUGAAUGAGCCGAUGUCGGGUUAGCUAGUUGGCGGGGUAAAGGCCCACCAAGGCGACGAUCCGUAGCUGAUCUGAGAGGAUGAUCAGCCACACUGGAACUGAGACACGGUCCAGACUCCUACGGGAGGCAGCAGUCGGGAAUAUUGGACAAUGGGCGCAAGCCUGACCCAGCCAUACCGCGUGAGUGAAGAAGGCCUUCGGGUUGUAAAGCCCUUUUGUUGGGAAAGAAAAGCAGCAGGUUAAUACCCCGCUGUUCUGACGGUACCCAAAGAAUAAGCACCGGCUAACUUCGUG
Molecule: ribosomal RNA, 492 nt
Filed under: uncultured bacterium
Lineage: Bacteria
Description: partial 16S ribosomal RNA
Rfam family: Bacterial small subunit ribosomal RNA
Source: RNAcentral